RNAcentral lists this ribosomal RNA (301 nucleotides) under uncultured bacterium. RNAcentral's name for it is "partial 16S ribosomal RNA". It matches the Rfam family "Bacterial small subunit ribosomal RNA", at positions 509 to 807 of the family's 1533-position model. The record is from RNAcentral.
CAGUCGCCACGGUAAUACGGAGGGUGCAAGCGUUAAUCGGAAUUACUGGGCGUAAAGCGCACGCAGGCGGUCUGUCAAGUCAGAUGUGAAAUCCCCGGGCUUAACCUGGGAACUGCAUUUGAAACUGUCAGGCUGGAGUCUUGUAGAGGGGGGUAGAAUUCCAGGUGUAGCGGUGAAAUGCGUAGAGAUCUGGAGGAAUACCGGUGGCGAAGGCGGCCCCCUGGACAAAGACUGACGCUCAGGUGCGAAAGCGUGGGGAGCAAACAGGAUUAGAUACCCGUGUAGUCCCUGUCUCUUAUAC